RNAcentral lists this ribosomal RNA (484 nucleotides) under uncultured bacterium. RNAcentral's name for it is "bacterial SSU rRNA". It matches the Rfam family "Bacterial small subunit ribosomal RNA", at positions 30 to 507 of the family's 1533-position model. The record is from RNAcentral.
AUUGAACGCUGGCGGCAUGCCUUACACAUGCAAGUCGAACGGCAGCACGGGAGCAAUCCUGGUGGCGAGUGGCGAACGGGUGAGUAAUAUAUCGGAACGUGCCCAGUCGUGGGGGAUAACGUAGCGAAAGCUACGCUAAUACCGCAUACGAUCUACGGAUGAAAGCGGGGGAUCACAAGACCUCGCGCGAUUGGAGCGGCCGAUAUCAGAUUAGCUAGUUGGUGGGGUAAAAGCUCACCAAGGCGACGAUCUGUAGCUGGUCUGAGAGGACGACCAGCCACACUGGAACUGAGACACGGUCCAGACUCCUACGGGAGGCAGCAGUGGGGAAUUUUGGACAAUGGGCGCAAGCCUGAUCCAGCCAUUCCGCGUGCAGGAUGAAGGCCUUCGGGUUGUAAACUGCUUUUGUACGGAACGAAAAGGCUCUGGUUAAUACCCGGGGCUCAUGACGGUACCGUAAGAAUAAGCACCGGCUAACUACGUG